Molecule: non-coding RNA, 28 nt
Filed under: Homo sapiens (human)
Lineage: Eukaryota; Metazoa; Chordata; Mammalia; Primates; Hominidae
Source: RNAcentral
UAUGGCAUCAAAGCAUUAUAAAAUAUGU